Octopus bimaculoides (California two-spot octopus) is the source of this 83-nucleotide non-coding RNA. The record is from Rfam. Lineage: Eukaryota; Metazoa; Mollusca; Cephalopoda; Octopoda; Octopodidae.
GUCCGAUCACCGAAGUUAAGCAACGUCGAGCCUAGUGAGUACUUAGAUGGAUGACCUCUUGGGAAACCUAGGUGCUGUAAGCA